This is a non-coding RNA of Chiloscyllium plagiosum (whitespotted bambooshark), 3027 nucleotides long. NCBI's taxonomy places the organism in Eukaryota, Metazoa, Chordata, Chondrichthyes, Orectolobiformes, Hemiscylliidae. The record is from RefSeq and is a predicted model, not a curated record.
GAAAUUGCUAAAAUUACGGAGGCUGGUCUAUUUUUGUAAUUUUCUGUUAAGAUUUCUACACAUGGAUCAAGACUCUGGUGUUGGAGUUUGAAACAUUAGUAAACGAGGAAUGUGGGCGUUGCCGGCUAGGCCAGUAUGUGUUGCCCAUCCCUAACUGCCCUUGAGAAGGUGCCUUAUUAAACCAUUACUGAUGAUAUAUUAUAUAUCGUCAGAGGAAAUUGAGAUGGAAGCUCUGGAUUUCCCCCUCCCACCUCACCAGGGAAGGCGGUGAUGAGCUGCAUUCAUUUGACCCACUGCAGUCCGUGUGACGUACGGAUACUCAGAGUAUGGCAGCCGGAAUUUUGACCCAGCAACGAUGAAGAAACAGCAAUGCGUUUCCAAAUUCACGUAGUGUGUAACCUGGAGAUGACUGUGUUCCCUCACAUCUCCUGCCUUUGAUCUUCUAGAUAGUAAAAGUUACAAAUUAGUACUCCUUUCUGAGCUAAAGCCAGUUGUGCCAAUCCGGCCUACACCAAUGGACACUUUAUUCUGGGGAUUCCUGCUUUGCUUUUCUCCAUGCUUAUAUCAAUGAACAAUCGGAAGACUUCAGAACUUAAAUUUAACUUUACAGAAGUCACACAAUUUCUGAAAGGAACAACACCCACCAUUCGUAUAGUUCCCUUAAUGUAGUAGAUCAAAGGAACAACCAUCAAACAAAAUUUGACAGUGAGACACGUAAGAAAUAUUAGGCAAGAUGACCAAAAGCUUGGUCAAAGAAGUAGGUUUUAAGUAGUGCAACAAGAGCUGACCAAUAGCUGUGAGCUUCAUUUCACUUAAUGAGGAUGGUAUAAAGUUAAUAAACUAGGGUCAUGUGGUACAGUGGUAGUGUCCCUGCCUGUGAGGUAGGAAGUCCAGGUUCCUGUACCAGGAGUGUGCAAUAAUAUCUCUGAACAGGUUGUUUUGAAAAUAUCUAAAGUAAAUUAAUUGCAACAUAUCUGAAACAUGUUGCUUAGUGCGGAUGAAUAGCCUCUGCACUUUCCAUCACCCUAUCUUGAGUAACUGAUGCGUGGUUAAAGAAGUUGCUUAAUGUGACCCAGUUAGAUGCUUUGGCCAGGAGUUUCCGUGACAAGUUGUCUUUUGUUGCUUGAGGCUUUAAGUUUGCUCAAUGCAGUGUUAUUCUCAGAAACCUUCACAUGAAACAGAUGGGGCAGCUGUCAAGUCUUUAUUUUAGGGCAAGGCUGGGAGAUAUGUAAGUGAAAUCAAAUUAUAACACAAACCUUCACUUAUUCUCUUGCAAGGAAUAGCAGAUCAGUAUUUAUUACAGGGCACAGAAACUUCUGAAUCUAUAUAGUAAAAGCAAAGUUGAUAAAGUUGCCAUCGUCCCAUAGGAUCAUAGGCUGCUCUCUCCUUAGCAAGAGACAAAUGAUGGUGGUUUAACCUAAGGGUCAUUAUGCUUCAGGUGAGGGAUGAGGUUGAGAAGGCAGGACCUAUAUGGUUAUCAUCGUUAUAGGCUGUGCAACCCAAAACCUGACCACUCGAUUGGUAAGACUUGAUGGAGGUGUAUAAAAUCAGGGAUGAUUUACAUAGAAUAGAUAAAAGGAAAUGUACCCACUGGCUGAAGGGUCGACAAGGGCCAUAGGUGACUGGCAAAAUAAACAGUAGUGACAGGAGGGAAAAUAUUUUUAAUCAAUGAGUCGUAAGGAUUUGGAAUGCACUUCCUGAUAAGGUUCAAUCACAACCUUUAACAGAAAAUUGGAUAAAUAUUUGAAAAGCCAACACGGACUUAAUGAGUCGAAUGGCCUCCUUCUGUGCUACACUAUUCUAAUUAUGCUUUCCACCUUAUCUGGCUAACAAAGUUUCCGUAGGACACCAAAUCCGAUUUGUACAUGAUGUGCUUGUAUCUAUAGCCCCUACAGUUCUGGAAUCCCCCUUUCUCCCAUGGUAGCAAACAACCUCUUGAAGCCAACCCAAUCAGAACCUUUGAGGAUCUCCAAUGGGUGAUACUCAGUCUUCACUUUUCUGGAUAAAAGCAAUCCCAUUCAGUUUAUCCUCAUGGGAAUAACCUAAUUGUGCACCUGAGUACAUAUUGUUUGCAACCCUUGUCAUGCAUGUCUAUCAUUUUUUAAAUAGGAAUUACAAGUACUCCACUUGUGAUCCAAUUAAUAUCUUACAAGAAUGAGAAGCCUUAUGGUAGUCCUUCUUUAUAUGAUUGCAAUUUGUUGGCCUUGUCAGUACAAUAGGACAGUGCAUUCCAAGAUCUUUUCCUAGUGUGACCCCUGCAUCAAGACUGGGUGCGAGGCCAGAGUGAACACUUGGAGUUUUGAGAGAGGGUUGGUUGAGGAGUCAGAUGGAGGUUUCAGCUGUUGGAUGGAGGGGCUUCAUUUGUUGACAAGUAGGGGGAAAAAAGAGGAGUUGAGUAUGUUGGGGAGGGGUGGGGGACUGGGUACAAGGUGUUGAAAAAGCAGAUUUUCUACACUCAGAAAGAGCCACUACCCAUUUAUGAGCUUGUUUCUGCACUAGCCAUGGGACGUCAGGAGAAGUCCAUUAGGCCACAUCCACCAACUAAACAAAGAGGAUUGAAAGGGGGUUUGCAGCUGCAAGGAGUUAGUCCUCAGUCCAUGGCUGCCAUUGCUUAGGGUUCUUCGGGUGCAGUGGUACUGUCCCCAUCUCUGAUCCAAGAAGCCUGGGUUCAAGGCCCAGCUACUGCAGAGGUGUGUAAUAACAUGGCUGAACAGGUUGUUCAAGAAACUAUCUAACUGCCAUUGAUAUCCAUGACUCUUGUUACCCAAAUGGGGUUUGCGAGUCACAAUUUGGGAACAGGAGGGCUAUGGUUAGUAACUGUGGCCAGGCAUAAUCCAGAAGGUUUAAGUACACAGCUGCAUACUCAUAACACUGCACUCCCAUCAUAGAACCUUUCUUUCCUAUCUGUAAGUCAACUAAUGAAUGGAAGUGCUGAAAAAUAAACACAGGAAUUUAAACACAGAUGAUUGGCACGGUGGUUAGCACUGCUACCUCACAGCACAGGGACCCAGGUUCGAUCCCUGUCUC